This 497-nucleotide ribosomal RNA is filed under the name uncultured bacterium. Its description in RNAcentral is "partial 16S ribosomal RNA". It matches the Rfam family "Bacterial small subunit ribosomal RNA", at positions 28 to 507 of the family's 1533-position model. The record is from RNAcentral.
GAUGAACGCUGGCGGCGUGCCUAAUACAUGCAAGUCGAGCGAACGGACGAGAAGCUUGCUUCUCUGAUGUUAGCGGCGGACGGGUGAGUAACACGUGGAUAACCUACCUAUAAGACUGGGAUAACUUCGGGAAACCGGAGCUAAUACCGGAUAAUAUUUUGAACCGCAUGGUUCAAAAGUGAACGACGGUCUUGCUGUCACUUAUAGAUGGAUCCGCGCUGCAUUAGCUAGUUGGUAAGGUAACGGCUUACCAAGGCAACGAUGCAUAGCCGACCUGAGAGGGUGAUCGGCCACACUGGAACUGAGACACGGUCCAGACUCCUACGGGAGGCAGCAGUAGGGAAUCUUACGCAAUGGGCGAAAGCCUGACGGAGCAACGCCGCGUGAGUGAUGAAGGUCUUAGGAUCGUAAAGCUCUGUUAUUAGGGAAGAACAUAUGUGUAAGUAACUGUGCACAUCUUGACGGUACCUAUUCAGAAAGCCACGGCUAACUACGUG